AUGUAUGUGUGUGUUUGUGUGUGCUUGCGUGUGUGUGUUUGUGUGUGUGUGCUUGCGUGUGUGUGUGUGUGUGUGUGUGUGUGUGCUUGCGUGUGUGUGUGUGUGUGUGUGUGUGCUUGCGUGUGUGUGUGUGUGUGUGUGUGUGUGUGUGCUUGCGUGUGUGUGUGUGUGCGUGCACAUGUAUGUGUGUGUGUGUGCGUGUACGUGUGUGUGUCUGCAUGUGUGUGCGCGUGUAAGUGUGUGUCAGCUUCUUCUACUCUGACCUCUAACUGGGACCGAGUCUGUGCUUUGUUUAUUACAGUUCACCAGAGUUUUCUCCCACCUCCUCAUUUGCAUUUCACCUCCUCCUGUAUCCGGCUCAUUAAUCCGGCGCUGAUGUUGUUUUCAUCCAGGCUCAGGUGUCUGAGCGGAGCCUGCGUCCUGCAGAGCAGCGCCCCCAUGAUGUCGUUGCCUCCCACGUCGCUGAUGUCGUUGCCGUCCAGGUCCAGCUCCCGCAGCCCCGCGUUCUCCCUCAGGACGUCCGCCAGCAGCCUGACGCCCGGGUCGCCCAGCCGGUUCUGGUCCAGGAUGACGUGGGCCAGCGAGGCGCUGCCCCGCAUGCUGUGGAACAGCUCCCUCCACGCCGCCAGGUCGGCGCCGCUGCUCUGGGCCAGGCCCAGGUACUGGAGCUGCGAGUGGUGGCGCAUGAACCAGGCCAGCGCCCUCACGCCCUCGCUGCCCAGGCCGUUGCCCCCGACGUCCAGCUCCAGCAGCGUGAAGGCCCUGAGGGGGCUCCACCCGGGGGGCGGCUGCAGGACGGCGCCGAGCUCCGCGUGGAGCUGGACGGCGGCGGCGGCGGCGGCUCUCGCCGUUUGCUCCUGCAGCUCCGCGACUCCCAUCAACAGCGCCAGCGCUCCAUGGUCGCGCAGUCUGUUCCCGAACAGGCUGAAACGAGAGGGAAAAGGCUGGUUGCCGUGGCGACCGGGAAGCGGCGCUGCCUCGUGGUGGCGUGAGCGGGCCUUACUGCAGGCCCUUGACCCCAGGCUUGGCCCUCAGCACGUCCAGCAGGAUGUGGGCCCCGUACGGGCCGAUGAGGUUGAGGUUGAGGUUGAGCAGCGUCACCUCGGACCGGCUGCUCUUCAGAGCUCCUGCCAGACUCAGCAGGUGGUCGUCGGUCAGGUCCGUGUUCCUCAGGACCAGCUGGCCCACCUCAGCCGAUGA
This 1200-nucleotide long non-coding RNA is filed under the name Betta splendens (Siamese fighting fish). RNAcentral's name for it is "lncRNA (ENSBSLG00000012616.1)". Lineage: Eukaryota; Metazoa; Chordata; Actinopteri; Anabantiformes; Osphronemidae. The record is from RNAcentral.